Molecule: ribosomal RNA, 392 nt
Filed under: uncultured bacterium
Lineage: Bacteria
Description: partial 16S ribosomal RNA
Rfam family: Bacterial small subunit ribosomal RNA
Source: RNAcentral
AUACGGAGGAUCCGAGCGUUAUCCGGAUUUAUUGGGUUUAAAGGGUGCGCAGGCGGCCAUUUAAGUCAGCGGUUAAAUCGUGGGGCUCAACCCCAUUCUGCCGUUGAUACUGGGUGGCUUGAUUGCGGUCGAGGUUGGCGGAAUUCGUUGCGUAGCGGUGAAAUGCAUAGAUAUGACGAAGAACACCGAUUGCGUAGGCAGCUGACCAGAACGCAAAUGACGCUCAUGCACGAAAGUGCGGGGAUCGAACAGGAUUAGAUACCCUGGUAGUCCGCACAGUAAACGAUGAAUACUUGUUUUCGGCGAUAUAAUGUCGGAGGCAAAGCGAAAGCGAUAAGUAUUCCACCUGGGGAGUACGCCGGCAACGGUGAAACUCAAAUGAAUUGACGGGG